RNAcentral lists this ribosomal RNA (875 nucleotides) under uncultured bacterium. RNAcentral describes it as "bacterial SSU rRNA". It matches the Rfam family "Bacterial small subunit ribosomal RNA", at positions 8 to 883 of the family's 1533-position model. The record is from RNAcentral.
AGAGUUUGAUCCUGGCUCAGAUUGAACGCUGGCGGAAUGCUUUACACAUGCAAGUCGAACGGUAGAGGGGGCAACCCCUUGAGAGUGGCGAACGGGUGAGUAAUAUAUCGGAACGUGCCCAGUCGUGGGGGAUAACGUAGCGAAAGUUACGCUAAUACCGCAUACGAUCUAUGGAUGAAAGCGGGGGACCGUAAGGCCUCGCGCGAUUGGAGCGGCCGAUAUCAGAUUAGGUAGUUGGUGGGGUAAAGGCUCACCAAGCCAACGAUCUGUAGCUGGUCUGAGAGGACGACCAGCCACACUGGAACUGAGACACGGUCCAGACUCCUACGGGAGGCAGCAGUGGGGAAUUUUGGACAAUGGACGCAAGUCUGAUCCAGCCAUUCCGCGUGCAGGAUGAAGGCCCUCGGGUUGUAAACUGCUUUUGUACGGAACGAAAAGGUCUCUAUUAAUACUGGGGGCUCAUGACGGUACCGUAAGAAUAAGCACCGGCUAACUACGUGCCAGCAGCCGCGGUAAUACGUAGGGUGCAAGCGUUAAUCGGAAUUACUGGGCGUAAAGCGUGUGCAGGCGGUUAUGUAAGACAGAGGUGAAAUCCCCGGGCUCAACCUGGGAACUGCCUUUGUGACUGCAUAGCUAGAGUACGGUAGAGGGGGAUGGAAUUCCGCGUGUAGCAGUGAAAUGCGUAGAUAUGCGGAGGAACACCGAUGGCGAAGGCAAUCCCCUGGACCUGUACUGACGCUCAUGCACGAAAGCGUGGGGAGCAAACAGGAUUAGAUACCCUGGUAGUCCACGCCCUAAACGAUGUCAACUGGUUGUUGGGUCUUCACUGACUCAGUAACGAAGCUAACGCGUGAAGUUGACCGCCUGGGGAGUAC